This 443-nucleotide ribosomal RNA is filed under the name uncultured bacterium. RNAcentral describes it as "bacterial SSU rRNA". It matches the Rfam family "Bacterial small subunit ribosomal RNA", at positions 337 to 796 of the family's 1533-position model. The record is from RNAcentral.
UCCUACGGGAGGCAGCAGUGGGGAAUAUUGCACAAUGGGGGGAACCCUGAUGCAGCGACGCCGCGUGAGUGAUUGAAGUAUUUCGGUAUGUAAAGCUCUAUCAGCAGGGAAGAAGAUGACGGUACCUGCAGAAGAAGCCCCGGCUAACUACGUGCCAGCAGCCGCGGUAAUACGUAGGGGGCAAGCGUUAUCCGGAUUUACUGGGUGUAAAGGGAGCGUAGGUGGCAAUGCAAGUCAGAAGUGAAACCCCAGGGCUUAACCUUGGGAUUGCUUUUGAAACUGCGUAGCUAGAGUGCAGGAGGGGUAAGCGGAAUUCCUGGUGUAGCGGUGAAAUGCGUAGAUAUUAGGAAGAACACCGGUGGCGAAGGCGGCUUACUGGACUGUAACUGACACUGAGGCUCGAAAGCGUGGGGAGCAAACAGGAUUAGAUACCCUGGUAGUCC